GACUGGUUGAGUUAGCUGGUGCUGGCCGCGGGCUUCAACCCCGUUGGGCCUCCUCUGGAAAGGGAGGCCGCUUGGUUCGAUUCCAAAACCAGUCUCCA
This 98-nucleotide transfer RNA is filed under the name Desulfobulbus sp. RNAcentral's name for it is "tRNA-Sec". It matches the Rfam family "Selenocysteine transfer RNA". The record is from RNAcentral. Lineage: Bacteria; Pseudomonadati; Thermodesulfobacteriota; Desulfobulbia; Desulfobulbales; Desulfobulbaceae.